UGGAUGUAGAAGAGUAGGUGUUUGAACAAUUUCAAAGUCGGCAGAUUUAAAUCUGAGGUUAGUUUCAUUGACUCGUGUUCGUAUUGACUCAGGAACUACGAGGGUAGUCGACCACUUUUAUUUGAAAGGUUUUACACAAUUGUUAAGCGAAACUAAUCCAGGCAGAUUCCGGUGGAACCAAAGGGAGCAAUAAACCCGAAUUCCCAAGCUUAUGGGGUUAUAAUCAAAUAUAACGAACCGCCGACUCAUCCCUGUCUUAUCAUUUAUUUCAAAACGCUCUGAGUCAAGUUAUUGAAUGACUGUCAACGUAAAUAUCGAAGACCAUCGUGAGUCCAUCAAUCGUGACUAUACGCUGGAUAAAAUACAUAUUUUUGGAUCCUCUCUUACAAAACUAGCCCGAUUGCGGCUAAUCCUAACCAGACCUGACCUUAGAGGAUUUCCCGACAGAUCCUGGACCAAAUAUACAUAAUAUGAAUAUAAUGAAGAUGUUGAAAGCGUUGCAUAGUUCUCUACAAACCCUCUGCAAGUUACGACCCGAGAAUAUCCAAACCCGAUAAGCCCUAUACAUUAAAAUUAUUGUAUCGUUAUUGUAACAUUUAAUAGAUGUCCUGUCUUUACAAAUUCUUGACCAAGUAAAAUACUUGUAAAGUGUCCCACCAAAGAGCAACUACUUCU
This is a long non-coding RNA of Drosophila ananassae, 675 nucleotides long. RefSeq lists it as uncharacterized. Lineage: Eukaryota; Metazoa; Arthropoda; Insecta; Diptera; Drosophilidae. The transcript has 3 exons. The record is from RefSeq and is a predicted model, not a curated record.